AGUGAACGCUGGCGGUAGGCCUAACACAUGCAAGUCGAACGGCAGCACAGUAAGAGCUUGCUCUUACGGGUGGCGAGUGGCGGACGGGUGAGGAAUACAUCGGAAUCUACUUUUUCGUGGGGGAUAACGUAGGGAAACUUACGCUAAUACCGCAUACGACCUACGGGUGAAAGCAGGGGAUCUUCGGACCUUGCGCGAUUGAAUGAGCCGAUUUCGGAUUAGCUGGUUGGCGGGGUAAAGGCCCACCAAGGCGACGAUCCGUAGCUGGUCUGAGAGGAUGAUCAGCCACACUGGAACUGAGACACGGUCCAGACUCCUACGGGAGGCAGCAGUGGGGAAUAUUGGACAAUGGGCGCAAGCCUGAUCCAGCCAUACCGCGUGGGUGAAGAAGGCCUUCGGGUUGUAAAGCCCUUUUGUUGGGAAAGAAAAGCAGCAGGUUAAUACCCCGCUGUUCUGACGGUACCCAAAGAAUAAGCACCGGCUAACUUCGUG
Molecule: ribosomal RNA, 492 nt
Filed under: uncultured bacterium
Lineage: Bacteria
Description: partial 16S ribosomal RNA
Rfam family: Bacterial small subunit ribosomal RNA
Source: RNAcentral